CACGUAGGAGGCGAGCGUUAUCCGGAUUUACUGGGCGUAAAGCGCGUGUAGGCGGUUUGGUAAGUUGGAUGUGAAAUCUCCUGGCUCAACUGGGAGAGGUCGUUCAAUACUGCCAGACUAGAGGACGGUAGAGGAAGGUAGAAUUCCCGGUGUAGUGGUGAAAUGCGUAGAUAUCGGGAGGAAUACCAGUGGCGAAGGCGGCCUUCUGGGCCGUUCCUGACGCUCAGACGCGAAAGCGUGGGUAGCGAACGGG
RNAcentral lists this ribosomal RNA (253 nucleotides) under uncultured bacterium. Its description in RNAcentral is "partial 16S ribosomal RNA". It matches the Rfam family "Bacterial small subunit ribosomal RNA", at positions 524 to 776 of the family's 1533-position model. The record is from RNAcentral.